UGCUCGUUGGUCUAGGGGUAUGAUUCUCGCUUAGGGUGCGAGAUAUCCCGGUUUCAAAUUCAUGACGAGCCC
RNAcentral lists this transfer RNA (72 nucleotides) under Pelobates cultripes (western spadefoot toad). RNAcentral's name for it is "tRNA.Pro". Lineage: Eukaryota; Metazoa; Chordata; Amphibia; Anura; Pelobatidae. The record is from RNAcentral.